GGGGGCGAUCGGUUUCGACGGGCUCGGUCGAGAUCCCCCGGCAGCAUGCCGAGGCCCCGCAGCCUCGUUAAAAUGCGGGACUGUACAACUGCCGCCUAACAUCGGCACCUCGCGGUUCCAUGAGUGAGCCGCGCGUCCGCCCCGGUGCUGUCUGUCCGCCGGGGGCCGGGCGUAAGAAGGCGGGCUGGCCGAAGUCCCCCCGCUCCCGGGAGAUAACGGCGAGACACAAUGGGAGAUACCGGAGGGAGGGCCGUCCGGAGCCCGACCCGAGGGAAACUUAAUCCGGUCUAAGCAUGUAGCGGCCGUCGGAUCCCUGGGCGCGGACGCGGGUUCGAUUCCCGCCGCCUCCACCA
RNAcentral lists this transfer-messenger RNA (353 nucleotides) under Candidatus Fermentibacter danicus. RNAcentral's name for it is "Fermentibacter daniensis Standard tmRNA". It matches the Rfam family "transfer-messenger RNA". Rfam says of the family: Bacterial tmRNA, also known as 10Sa RNA or SsrA, is named for its dual tRNA and mRNA-like properties. Its role is to liberate the mRNA from a stalled ribosome. To accomplish this part of the tmRNA is used as a reading frame that ends in a translation stop signal. Lineage: Bacteria; Pseudomonadati; Candidatus Fermentibacterota; Candidatus Fermentibacteria; Candidatus Fermentibacterales; Candidatus Fermentibacteraceae. RNAcentral also lists the same sequence under 1 other name. The record is from RNAcentral.